CUCGUGCCGUGAGGUGUCGGGUUAAGUCCCAUAACGAGCGCAACCCUUACCGUUAGUUGCCAUCGGGUAAAGCCGGGGACUCUAGCGGGACUGCCACCGUAAGGUGAGAGGAAGGUGGGGAUGACGUCAAAUCAGCACGGCCCUUAUGUCCAGGGCUACACACGUGUUACAAUGGCCGGUACAAAGGGCAGCUACACUGCGAAGUGAUGCUAAUCUCGAAAGCCGGUCUCAGUUCGGAUCGAAGUCUGCAACUCGACUUCGUGAAGCUGGAUUCGCUAGUAAUCGCGCAUCAGCCAUGGCGCGGUGAAUACGUUCCCGGGCCUUGUACACACCGCCCGUCAAGCCAUGGAAGCUGGGGGUACCUGAAGUCUGCAACCGCAAGGAGCGGCCUAGGGUAAAACUGGUGACUGGGGCUAAGUCGUAACAAGGUAGCCGUACCGGAAGGUGUGGCUGGAACACCUCCUUUCUGGAGC
RNAcentral lists this ribosomal RNA (473 nucleotides) under Enterococcus faecalis. RNAcentral describes it as "bacterial SSU rRNA". It matches the Rfam family "Bacterial small subunit ribosomal RNA", at positions 1059 to 1533 of the family's 1533-position model. The record is from RNAcentral. Lineage: Bacteria; Bacillati; Bacillota; Bacilli; Lactobacillales; Enterococcaceae.